RNAcentral lists this ribosomal RNA (253 nucleotides) under uncultured bacterium. RNAcentral describes it as "partial 16S ribosomal RNA". It matches the Rfam family "Bacterial small subunit ribosomal RNA", at positions 524 to 776 of the family's 1533-position model. The record is from RNAcentral.
GACGAACCGUGCGAACGUUGUUCGGAAUCACUGGGCUUAAAGGGCGCGUAGGCGGGCGGCCAAGUCAGGGGUGAAAGCCCCCAGCUCAACUGGGGAAGUGCCUUUGAUACUGGUCAUCUCGAGGGAGGUAGGGGCGUGCGGAACUUCCGGUGGAGCGGUGAAAUGCGUAGAUAUCGGAAGGAACACCGGUGGCGAAAGCGGCGCGCUGGACCUCUUCUGACGCUGAGGCGCGAAAGCCAGGGGAGCAAACGGG